CGUCGAAUUGGACCCAAGUCCCGUCCGAGUUUAAUGAAUUUAUGGCUGAACAAUCAGCUCUCUAUCAACCCGUUUGAACCACUGGCUUUUCAUAAAAAUCGGGUACCACUUUUCCUUUGACCCACCAGGUCUUUAUUAACCUUUGUUUCUUUCCAAUUUUCAGUUUCCAUCUUUUCGGUUUCCUCACUCCCGUCUCCUCACAACUUCUAAAACAUUAGGGAUUGUUGCAAAAUCAAAAAGUUAAGCCGCCGUCUCCAAUCUCUUGCAAUUCAACAACUCCAAAAAAUCCAAUCUACAAUUUCAAGUUUUAAGAUAUGGAAUCCAUGAAACAAUAGCCCCCAUGUUGCACUGGUUGAUGAACAAGCAAGCCCAGAAGAAUAUGAAAUCCAUGCGAAUAGGGGACCUUUCUUUUUUUCUACCAUUUGGGCACGAAAGUCGGUUGCGUGGUGGGCAUGGUCUGUGUGGAGAAGGAUGUUUGGAGAAAAGUUUGUGAGAUGGGUGGUGGAUAUGAUGGGGACAAUGGCGGUCAUUAUGCUUAAUGGUGAUUAGGGGGUGCUCUAAAGGUGUACUUGUAAUUACUGACUUUUUGGAAGGGGUGCUUCUAGGCUAGCAAGUAGCAAAAUCUUUAUUUUGGCUACGGGGGAUAUGCUCUAAAGGUGUUUGAUAUUUUAUAGCAAAGGGGAUAUGUUAGUAGUUGUAAUUUAUUUUGGCUAUGGGGAUAUGCUCUAAAGGUAUUUGAUAUUUUGUAGCAAAGGGAUAUGUUAAUAGUUGUAAUCACUGCAACAUCUUUAUUUUAGACUAGCAACAUCCUCAUUUUGGCUAUGAAAUCUUCGAUAAUGUGUGGUAUGAUGAUUGGAAUCAAGGAACUUUAAGCUAUUUUUGCAUCUUAGAGAUGUAAUGAAUGAUUGGUUUUAAGGAUAUUAAAAAAAAAAAAAAAAAGUCUGGAAUUUAAGUAUUUUGUUGAUGAAUAUCAAAUUUGAGCCAUUGAAAUAUAUGAAAAUAAGAUUUUUUUGUGCAACUUUAAAGUGAUCUACUGUUUGUUGAAUUUUGAUGUUGCAAAUGGAUUUUCCAUAACGUG
This 1078-nucleotide long non-coding RNA is filed under the name Olea europaea subsp. europaea. The record is from RNAcentral. Lineage: Eukaryota; Viridiplantae; Streptophyta; Magnoliopsida; Lamiales; Oleaceae.